AAAUUUAUUACCCAAAGUAGAGUCAGUUACAAAACAUUUACAACACAAAACAUUUACAAUCUACUUACAAAAAGAAUGAUCGGUUAAGUUAUACCCAAGCAUUACAUAGAUUAAUAUUGACACUAUCUAAACGGUUAAUGUUACUUUCUCGAAGUUGAAUUCCAACAAUGUCUUUGAUAGUUUUGAGGAUAUCGUCAACAGUUCUUGAGCAACUUUUAAAUAUUCUACGGUUCGUUCUUCCCACAAAAUUUAAAUAUAGGCACACAAAUCAAUCUUUAAGAUGGUAGUAAGAAGAGAUUUGUCUUUCCAUUUUUCACAAGCUUAAGCAACCAUAUCCUCCCAUGACAGGAAUGUUUUCUGCAAUCCUGAUAGUCAUAAUAUUCUCCCAAAGAUAAUUAGCCAAACAACAAUAAAAAAAUAAAUGAUCACGUUUUUCAUUUGCUGCAUUGCAUAUCACAUAACUCCAAUCAAUAUGGAUUCCCAUUCUUUGAAGACGAGCACGAGUGUGAAGCCUAUCUAAUAAAGUCAUCCAAGUGAUCAUACUGUGUUUAGGGAUGUGUAUAGGAAAUCAUAUCAGUUUGUGGCAUUGAACUUUGUUGCCUUUCACUCUAAGUUCUUCUCAUAUAUCUCUUGUUUUGGUUACUCCUUUUGAUAAAAUUGAAAAAAUUUCAUUCCUAAGUUUGAGUAGUCUGUUUAAACAUCAACUAAGGUUAGUACCCCAGCCAUAAGCCAUGGAUCGUAAUCUUUAAUGACAUAGGCUUUGAUCCAAACAACACAAAUGGAUCCAUCACCAGCCAGAAUUUUUCUAAUUAGAUUCAUGCAAGCCUUAUUCUACAUUUUGAUAUUUUUCAGUCCAAGUCCACUCUCCGAUUUAGGUUGGUAGAUUUUCAUCCAACUAAUACACGCACCAACAACAACCUUGUUAGUUCCUUUCUAGAAAAAUUUAGAACAGAGUUCACACCAAUAAUUCGCAAUGCUAUACAAAACAGCCCGGAUGAACUCAAGGCGGCUAGCAUAGCUGAGAUGCUUACCAGACCAGAAAUGUAUUCUUGAUUUAAUGUUCCCAAUGAGCAGUUCACAGUCUUUUUCAGAGAGUUUUUUAGAUGCUAAAAGGACUCUUAAGUAUCUCACAGGCAAGAAUCCUUGAUUGAAACCAGUGAUUUGCUUAAUCAAUUCGCUUGUUGCCCAAAGUGUCAGGGCUGAACACUCGAUCACAUCGUAGUCUCGUCGGUCAACCCAACUAAACACAGUGUUGGCCCAUCAAACUGCAAUCUUCAAUUCAAUGACGAUAAUUUUCGGGGUUUCUUUUUUCCUAUUGGAAUUGAAUUCCUUUCCCAUUAUUUGUUUUCUAAUAAAGAUUCUUUCUUUUCCUGGUGGACUUGUUUGUUUUCCGCGAUUCUGUAGGAAAGUAGAAAACUUUUUUUCAGGGGUAGAAAGAAGAGUAACCCAUCAACAGGAGCCUCUUCAAAAUCAAAAGUUGGGUCUUCACAGCCUUCAGAAACUUCAUUCAAGCGCAAAAGAGGAGUUUUCCAAAAAAGAUUUGCAACAUAUGAUGUAUGGUUUUGGAGACGAUCCCAAUUAGGAAGCUGAGCAGUGAAUAUUAGUUGCGGAGAGUGAGAAACCAAAGUCGAAGCUGCGAAACCGUGUUUCAGUCCUUAUUGAUCGUUUGGGAUUGUUUCUAUUGUAGCAAAGCUAUUUGAAAAAAGCUUAGGCGUUAAAUAUGUAUGAUGAACAAAUAUGUCUUAAAUUACUUUCAAGCAUUUUACAUUGCUAUGAAAAACUGCUGUAGAGAA
Hibiscus syriacus is the source of this 1793-nucleotide long non-coding RNA. RefSeq lists it as uncharacterized. NCBI's taxonomy places the organism in Eukaryota, Viridiplantae, Streptophyta, Magnoliopsida, Malvales, Malvaceae. The transcript is spliced from 3 exons. The record is from RefSeq and is a predicted model, not a curated record.